GUAUCUCUGGGCGGCAAAAGACUGUGAACCCCGCCAGGCCCGGAAGGGAGCAACGGUAGCGGUUAUUUUGGGUGCUUUGGGACGGCUG
Molecule: signal recognition particle RNA, 88 nt
Filed under: Gammaproteobacteria bacterium
Lineage: Bacteria; Pseudomonadati; Pseudomonadota; Gammaproteobacteria
Description: signal recognition particle sRNA small type
Rfam family: Bacterial small signal recognition particle RNA
About the family: The signal recognition particle (SRP) is a universally conserved ribonucleoprotein involved in the co-translational targeting of proteins to membranes. Archaeal SRP consists of a 7S RNA and homologues of the eukaryotic SRP19 and SRP54 proteins.
Source: RNAcentral